AGAGUGAACGCUGGCGGUAGGCCUAACACAUGCAAGUCGAACGGCAGCACGGUAAGAGCUUGCUCUUAUGGGUGGCGAGUGGCGGACGGGUGAGGAAUACAUCGGAAUCUACCUUUUGGUGGGGGAUAACGUAGGGAAACUUACGCUAAUACCGCAUACGCCCUUCGGGGGAAAGCCGGGGACCAGCAAUGGCCUGGUGCUGAUAGAUGAGCCGAUGUCGGAUUAGCUAGUUGGUGAGGUAAUGGCUCACCAAGGCGACGAUCCGUAGCUGGUCUGGAGAGGAUGAUCAGCCACA
This 295-nucleotide ribosomal RNA is filed under the name uncultured soil bacterium. Its description in RNAcentral is "partial 16S ribosomal RNA". It matches the Rfam family "Bacterial small subunit ribosomal RNA", at positions 26 to 312 of the family's 1533-position model. The record is from RNAcentral.